ACUGUGUGUAAAGAUAUGUGAAACAAUUCUAUGCCAUUCUAAAGUUGUUUGUAUAUCAAAAUGCCCUUUUAUCUUUCUCUUACCAAACGUUAAUUCUUAAAGUAAGUUUUACUAUAUGUAUAUGCUGCUUUGCAAUGUUAUUUUGUAAGCUGUAUUUUAUUUUUGUGUCAGGCUAUCACUGUAGGCCUUGGUAGAUGCUGGUGCUAGCCUAUGGAAUCAGACUAAUGUCCAGUUGCUCAGCUUUAGGACAUGAAGUUCAAGCAAGAAGGAGAACAGACAUAAAACAUAACUGGAAGCUGUGAUGCUCCAAAAAUAUCACAGGAUCGGAUGACACGAAAACCUUCACCAAACUUGGGACCAUGACACCAUUCACACCUGGAUGUGCUGAAAUGGAGGAAACAGCAAGUCAAUAUUUAAUAAAUUUUUACUAAAGACUCUGUGCUAUGCAAGACUCCAAAUAGUAUAAAAUACUGCCCUUACCUUCAUUGAGCUUACCAGCUAGGUGAGUGCUACCCAUUAAGUGAAAG
This 527-nucleotide long non-coding RNA is filed under the name Homo sapiens (human). Its description in RNAcentral is "non-protein coding lnc-RUBCNL-4:6". The record is from RNAcentral. Lineage: Eukaryota; Metazoa; Chordata; Mammalia; Primates; Hominidae.